ACCUUUACUAUAGCUUGACACUGAACAUUGAGCCUUGAUGUGUAGGAUAGGUGGGAGCUUUGAAGCGUGGACGCCAGUCUGCGUGGAGCCAACCUUGAAAUACCACCCUUUAAUGUUUGAUGUUCUAACGUUGGCCCUUACCGGGGUUGCGGACAGUGUCUGGUGGGUAGUUUGACUGGGGCGGUCUCCUCCCAAAGCGUAACGGAGGAGCACGAAGGUUAGCUAAUCCUGGU
This 233-nucleotide ribosomal RNA is filed under the name Klebsiella pneumoniae. RNAcentral describes it as "partial 23S ribosomal RNA". It matches the Rfam family "Bacterial large subunit ribosomal RNA", at positions 2097 to 2331 of the family's 2925-position model. The record is from RNAcentral. Lineage: Bacteria; Pseudomonadati; Pseudomonadota; Gammaproteobacteria; Enterobacterales; Enterobacteriaceae.